GUAGGUGAACCUGCGGAAGGAUCAUUAUUCUUCUCUAUCGGGAGGUUGUAGUUGGAGAUUGUUUUCAACAGGAAGCUCUCUCCUUCUCGCCCUAUCUGAUUUUACCCCAUGAUUUUUGUGUACCUUUUGUUUCCUUGACAGGUUCGCCUGUCAAAGGACCCUUUAAACCCGUUGCAAUUGCAGUCAGCGUCAGAUAAACUUAAUAGUUACAACUUUCAACAACGGAUCUCUUGGUUCUG
Molecule: unclassified non-coding RNA, 239 nt
Filed under: rhizosphere metagenome
Description: partial ribosomal RNA internal transcribed spacer region
Source: RNAcentral